UACGAAGGGGGCUAGCGUUGCUCGGAAUCACUGGGCGUAAAGCGCACGUAGGCGGAUCUUUAAGUCAGGGGUGAAAUCCCAAGGCUCAACCUUGGAACUGCCUUUGAUACUGGGGAUCUCGAGUCCGGAAGAGGUGAGUGGAACUGCGAGUGUAGAGGUGAAAUUCGUAGAUAUUCGCAAGAACACCAGUGGCGAAGGCGGCUCACUGGUCCGGUACUGACGCUGAGGUGCGAAAGCUAGGGGAGCGAACGGG
RNAcentral lists this ribosomal RNA (253 nucleotides) under uncultured bacterium. RNAcentral's name for it is "partial 16S ribosomal RNA". It matches the Rfam family "Bacterial small subunit ribosomal RNA", at positions 524 to 776 of the family's 1533-position model. The record is from RNAcentral.